This 231-nucleotide ribosomal RNA is filed under the name uncultured bacterium. RNAcentral's name for it is "partial 16S ribosomal RNA". It matches the Rfam family "Bacterial small subunit ribosomal RNA", at positions 89 to 334 of the family's 1533-position model. The record is from RNAcentral.
AGUAAAGUGGCGACCGGGUGAGUAACACGUGACUAACCUACCUUCGAGUGGGGGAUAACAUCGGGAAACCGAUGCUAAUACCGCAUAACAUCGCAAGAUCAAAGCAGCAAUGCGCUGGAAGAGGGGGUCGCGGCUGAUUAGCUAGUUGGCGGGGUAACGGCCCACCAAGGCGAAGAUCGGUAGCCGGCCUGAGAGGGCGCACGGCCACACUGGAACUGAAACACGGUCCAG